This 274-nucleotide ribosomal RNA is filed under the name uncultured bacterium. RNAcentral describes it as "partial 16S ribosomal RNA". It matches the Rfam family "Bacterial small subunit ribosomal RNA", at positions 523 to 796 of the family's 1533-position model. The record is from RNAcentral.
AUACGGAGGGGGCUAGCGUUGUUCGGAAUUACUGGGCGUAAAGCGCUCGUAGGCGGCUUGUAAAGUCGGAUGUGAAAGCCCUGGGCUCAACCUGGGAACUGCAUUCGAUACUGGCAAGCUAGAGUAUAGUAGAGGCAAGUGGAAUUCCGGGUGUAGCGGUGAAAUGCGUAGAUAUCCGGAGGAACAUCAGUGGCGAAGGCGACUUGCUGGACUAAUACUGACGCUGAGGAGCGAAAGCGUGGGGAGCAAACGGGAUUAGAAACCCCAGUAGUCC